GGAAAUAGCAUUUAGUGAAGGUAGUCGCCUGGCUCUCCCCCAGUGAAGAAGGAAAAUAAAAGCUUUAUCUGAGAGGUGUUUUCCAGAAGCUGAAGGUUGAUGCUGAACUGCUGAAGCUGGAGGAGCCAGAUGACAAAGAGCAUGGUGAGGAGGAGUAUCAGGCUAUGACACACGUUAUUUUGGAAAAACUUUUCAUAUGAUUAUUUAUUUUUCUAAUCCACCAUUUUUGGAAUGAGCUGAGAUUAGCCCAACUAAUAUUAACAUCAGUUCUAGGCUUGAAUCCAAACAGACUUUUCAAGAUCUCUAAAUUCCUUCAGAGAUGCUUAGAGGGAUAGAAUGCAGCUGAAUCACAGUCUCCCAACCAGAUCUUCCUUACCCGUGAGAACUACGGUCAAAGGAGGACUUAUCCAAGGAACUGCAAAGACUUUUUGAUCCAGACAUCAGUUUAUCUAGGCACUCACCACUGAUGGUCCAAGUCCAUCCACUUGGUCCUGAGAAAACCUUCUCAAAGUGCCUGGGAGAAAAUCCAUGGUUUCACUGAGACACCAAUGAGUAUGAAUAAUAGAGAAGACCAGACCUUGGCUGACACUUUGAGAAUCUCUGAUAGAAUUGAUUCCCCCUCUCAGCUGGCACCAUCCAGGAAGAACCACAUGACCAGCUUGCCUGCUUGAUCUGAGCAGCACUGAUUGAAAGAGAAAACUACUGUUUUGUGAAUGAUCAACCUCACUCAAAGUUGACAUUUUUAACA
Molecule: long non-coding RNA, 748 nt
Filed under: Homo sapiens (human)
Lineage: Eukaryota; Metazoa; Chordata; Mammalia; Primates; Hominidae
Description: HSALNT0330434
Source: RNAcentral